This 460-nucleotide ribosomal RNA is filed under the name uncultured bacterium. Its description in RNAcentral is "SSU rRNA". It matches the Rfam family "Bacterial small subunit ribosomal RNA", at positions 26 to 518 of the family's 1533-position model. The record is from RNAcentral.
AGAAUCAACGCUGGCGGCGUGCCUAACACAUGCAAGUCGAACGAGAAAGGGACUUCGGUCCUGAGUAUAGUGGCGCACGGGUGAGUAACACGUGAAUAAUCUACCUCCGAGUGGGGAAUAACUGAGAGAAAUCUUAGCUAAUACCGCAUAACACUUACGAGUCAAAGCAGCAAUGCGCUUGGAGAGGAGUUCGCGGCCGAUUAGUUAGUUGGCGGGGUAAUGGCCCACCAAGACGAUGAUCGGUAUCCGGCCUGAGAGGGCGCACGGACACACUGGAACUGAAACACGGUCCAGACUCCUACGGGAGGCAGCAGUGGGGAAUUUUGCGCAAUGGGGGAAACCCUGACGCAGCAACGCCGCGUGGAGGAUGAAGUAUCUCGGUACGUAAACUCCUUUCGAUGGGGAAGAUAAUGACGGUACCCAUAGAAGAAGCCCCGGCUAACUUCGCGCCAGCAGCCGC